Molecule: long non-coding RNA, 272 nt
Filed under: Prunus persica (peach)
Lineage: Eukaryota; Viridiplantae; Streptophyta; Magnoliopsida; Rosales; Rosaceae
Description: long non-coding RNA (PPER_LNC005508)
Source: RNAcentral
AUAAACGAAACCAAGGUGGAAACAGGGCCACAGAGAACACACUAGGAACUCAGGCACAGCAAACCUGUUUCCCACAGAAAAAUCAAACAGUUUGGGGGCAAGGCAGGCCUUCAGACACCAGCACACCUACUAGAGACGAUGGUGGUCUCUUGACCCAAACACUCAGGUUCCACCGCUCCGAGGAGCCCACUUCCAGCACACCUCAGAGAAACUAGAGGAAAGAGUCUUAUUUUCCUCCAAGACUGGGGCAAUAUUCCAAGCCCCAUUGUGAA